Molecule: non-coding RNA, 69 nt
Organism: Rattus norvegicus (Norway rat)
Lineage: Eukaryota; Metazoa; Chordata; Mammalia; Rodentia; Muridae
Source: Rfam
GGGGAUUUAGCUCAGUGGAAGAGCGCUUGCCUAGCGAGCACAAGGCCCUGGGUUCAGUCCCCAGCUCCG